GGCGGUGUAGCUCAGUUGGUUAGAGCAGCGGAAUCAUAAUCCGCGUGUCGGGGGUUCAAGUCCCUCCUCCGCUACCA
RNAcentral lists this transfer RNA (77 nucleotides) under Planctomycetaceae bacterium. RNAcentral describes it as "tRNA-Met". It matches the Rfam family "tRNA". From Rfam's summary of the family: Transfer RNA (tRNA) molecules are approximately 80 nucleotides in length. Lineage: Bacteria; Pseudomonadati; Planctomycetota; Planctomycetia; Planctomycetales; Planctomycetaceae. The record is from RNAcentral.